CAUUCGAGAAGCUUGUACAGCAUUAACCUUUUAAGUUAAAGACUGGGAAUCUAAAUUUCCCCUCAAUGA
Molecule: transfer RNA, 69 nt
Filed under: Bradypus torquatus (Maned three-toed sloth)
Lineage: Eukaryota; Metazoa; Chordata; Mammalia; Pilosa; Bradypodidae
Description: tRNA-Lys
Source: RNAcentral